UCAGUCUUAGCUUUUGGUGACAUAGGUUA
RNAcentral lists this non-coding RNA (29 nucleotides) under Rattus norvegicus (Norway rat). The record is from RNAcentral. Lineage: Eukaryota; Metazoa; Chordata; Mammalia; Rodentia; Muridae.